CCCUGCUUUCCGUGUAUAACGUUUGACUGUCGUCUUGUAUAAAAUUUUUUUAUAAUUAGUAUUUUCAUUGUUGCUAGAUGAUAAAAUAUGAUUAAUACUUUAUGCGUAACUUAUCUUUUUAAAUUUUUUCAUAAUUUUUUAAAAUAAGACGGACGGUCAAACGUGUCCGACGGUCAAACGUUGGACACGAAAACUCAGAGUUUAUCUUUUU
This is a non-coding RNA of Oryza glaberrima (African rice), 211 nucleotides long. Lineage: Eukaryota; Viridiplantae; Streptophyta; Magnoliopsida; Poales; Poaceae. The record is from Rfam.